UGCACAAUUGCAUCCGCAGCACUGUGUAUCCUCUCAUGACUGAAAGUGGGGCUAAUUUCCACUGCAGAAAAAAGUCAAAAAUAGAAGGCAACCAGCCUCCUGAAGACUGAGCUGGAAUCUGAAUUCACAACAAGACAAGCACCAGAAAAGUCAAGAGGAAAGUCAGACAUCCACACCAUCAUGUGGCUGAAGUUAAGGGCAGGGACCAGGAUAAUCAGCAUCUCUGGAAGUCUCCAGGAGAGCAAAAUCAAGCAUCCACCCCUAACAAGCUGCCACUGCAGGUUUUGCACUCAAUUUCCCCAUGUUCACAUAAGGACAAAAGAGAGGAACAUAUCAAGCUGGUUUGCUGGUGGACAUACUCCAAGGAGGAGCAAGCAUUGAGCAAGCAGAGUCUCCACAGGCCUGUAGCAUCC
Columba livia (rock pigeon) is the source of this 413-nucleotide long non-coding RNA. RefSeq lists it as uncharacterized. The record is from RefSeq and is a predicted model, not a curated record. The transcript is spliced from 3 exons. NCBI's taxonomy places the organism in Eukaryota, Metazoa, Chordata, Aves, Columbiformes, Columbidae.